UAGUGAGUUUGAUCCUGGCUCAGGACGAACGCUGGCGGCGUGCCUAAUACAUGCAAGUCGAGCGCAGGAAGCGCGCGGAACCCUUCGGGGGGAAGCACGCGGAAUGAGCGGCGGACGGGUGAGUAACACGUAAGGAACCUGCCCCAGGGACUGGGAUAACUCCGAGAAAUCGGAGCUAAUACCGGAUCUGUCACGAGACCGCAUGGUCCCGUGAUGAAAGGCGCUCCGGCGUCACCGUUGGGAUGGCCUUGCGGUGCAUUAGCUA
Molecule: ribosomal RNA, 265 nt
Filed under: uncultured Exiguobacterium sp.
Lineage: Bacteria; Bacillati; Bacillota; Bacilli; Caryophanales
Description: partial 16S ribosomal RNA
Rfam family: Bacterial small subunit ribosomal RNA
Source: RNAcentral